RNAcentral lists this ribosomal RNA (407 nucleotides) under Deuterixys rimulosa. Its description in RNAcentral is "partial 16S ribosomal RNA". The record is from RNAcentral. Lineage: Eukaryota; Metazoa; Arthropoda; Insecta; Hymenoptera; Braconidae.
GUCUUAUUGAAUAUUAAUUUUAAGUCAAAUCUGCUCAAUGAAAAUUAAAUGGCUGCAGUAUUCAUAACUGUACAAAGGUAGCAUAAUAAUUAGUUUUUUAAUUGAAAACUAGAAUGAAAGAUUAAAUGAAAAAUAAACUUUAUUGAAUUUAAUAAAUAAACUUUUUCUUUAAAUAAAAAAAUUUAAAUAAAUUUAAAAGACGAGAAGACCCUAAAGAAUUUUUAUAAUUUUUUUUAAUUUUUAAAAAAAAUUAUUUUAAUUGGGGAAAUUUAAAAAUUUAAUAAAUUUUUUUAUAAAAUAACAAAAAUUUUUGUAUAAAAAAUAUUUUUUUAAAAAAAAUAAAUAAAAUUACCUUAGGGAUAACAGCAUAAUUUUUUUUUUAAGUUCUUAUUUUUAAAAAAGUUUAU